RNAcentral lists this microRNA (21 nucleotides) under Brassica rapa (field mustard). RNAcentral's name for it is "bra-miR9567-3p". Lineage: Eukaryota; Viridiplantae; Streptophyta; Magnoliopsida; Brassicales; Brassicaceae. The record is from miRBase by way of RNAcentral.
AAACUAUAUGUGUUGCUUAGA